GGGACCAGCCUAAGUAGUAGUGCCGCAGGUAACAUGACUUGGGAUUACCUGCUCCCUGCUGCUUAACUUGGUACCGCUUUACG
Molecule: microRNA precursor, 83 nt
Filed under: Ascaris suum (pig roundworm)
Lineage: Eukaryota; Metazoa; Nematoda; Chromadorea; Rhabditida; Ascarididae
Description: microRNA asu-mir-252 precursor
Gene: asu-mir-252
Rfam family: mir-252 microRNA precursor family (bases 2-74)
Source: miRBase by way of RNAcentral